Molecule: ribosomal RNA, 230 nt
Filed under: uncultured microorganism
Description: partial 16S ribosomal RNA
Rfam family: Bacterial small subunit ribosomal RNA
Source: RNAcentral
UACGUAGGGGGCAAGCGUUGUCCGGAAUUAUUGGGCGUAAAGCGCGCGCAGGCGGUCUUUUAAGUCUGGUGUUUAAGUGCGGGGCUCAACCCCGUGACGCACUGGAAACUGGGAGACUUGAGUGCAGAAGAGGAGAGCGGAAUUCCACGUGUAGCGGUGAAAUGCGUAGAGAUGUGGAGGAACACCAGUGGCGAAGGCGGCUCUCUGGACUGUAACUGACGCUGAGGCGC